Molecule: ribosomal RNA, 710 nt
Filed under: uncultured Glomeromycotina
Lineage: Eukaryota; Fungi; Glomeromycota
Description: LSU rRNA
Rfam family: Eukaryotic large subunit ribosomal RNA
Source: RNAcentral
GUGAAAUUGUUGAAAGGGAAACGAUUGAAGCCAGUAGGACCAUGGAGAGUUCAGCGAUACCUAUCGAGUAUUGUUGCGAUGAGAGUGCUUAAUUGUACCUCUAGCAGUGUGCGCAAAUAGACUAUCGUGCAUUCUUUCCAUGGUUAGUCAGUGACAAUUCGAGUUGCCGGAAAAGGACGUGGGGAAGGUGGCCAUUGCUUCGGCAUUGGCUUUAUAGACCCUCGUAGAUACGGCAGUUUGGAUUGGAAUCGGCAACAGCUAAUCGGUGCGUCAUAUCUGCGGUUGUGGACACUUGAGAAUCAGUAGAGUCUCAGGUGGCAUCUAUCUGGGAAACGAUGUUCAGAAUGCUGCGGUGACUACUGACGAAAUGGCUUUAAACGACCCGUCUUGAAACACGGACCAAGGAGUCUAACAUAUAUGCGAGUAUUUGGGUGGCAAACCCGAGUGCGAAAUGAAAGUGAGUACAAAUGGGAUCCCUUUUUUGGGCGCACCAUUGACCGAUCUUGAUAUCUCUUGAUAGAUUUGAGUUAGAGCAUAUCUGUUGGGACCCGAAAGAUGGUGAACUAUGCCUGGAUAGGAUGAAGCCAGAGGAAACUCUGGUGGAGGUCCGAAGCCGUUCUGACGUGCAAAUCGAUGGUCAAAUCUGGGUAUAGGGGCGAAAGACUAAUCGAACCAUCUAGUAGCUGGUUCCCUCCGAAGUUUCCCUCAGG